GCUGGUGUAGCUCAGCGGUAGAGCAGCUCACUCGUAAUGAGCAGGUCGUCGGUUCGAAUCCGACCAUCAGCUCCA
RNAcentral lists this transfer RNA (75 nucleotides) under Peptococcaceae bacterium. RNAcentral describes it as "tRNA-Thr". It matches the Rfam family "tRNA". From Rfam's summary of the family: Transfer RNA (tRNA) molecules are approximately 80 nucleotides in length. Their secondary structure includes four short double-helical elements and three loops (D, anti-codon, and T loops). The record is from RNAcentral. Lineage: Bacteria; Bacillati; Bacillota; Clostridia; Eubacteriales; Peptococcaceae. RNAcentral also lists the same sequence under 5 other names.